This 497-nucleotide ribosomal RNA is filed under the name uncultured bacterium. RNAcentral's name for it is "partial 16S ribosomal RNA". It matches the Rfam family "Bacterial small subunit ribosomal RNA", at positions 28 to 507 of the family's 1533-position model. The record is from RNAcentral.
GACGAACGCUGGCGGCGUGCCUAAUACAUGCAAGUAGAACGCUGAAGUGAGGAGCUUGCUCUUCUUGGAUGAGUUGCGAACGGGUGAGUAACGCGUAGGUAACCUGCCUUGUAGCGGGGGAUAACUAUUGGAAACGAUAGCUAAUACCGCAUAACAAUGGAUGACACAUGUCAUUUAUUUGAAAGGGGCAAUUGCUCCACUACAAGAUGGACCUGCGUUGUAUUAGCUAGUAGGUGAGGUAAUGGCUCACCUAGGCGACGAUACAUAGCCGACCUGAGAGGGUGAACGGCCACACUGGGACUGAGACACGGCCCAGACUCCUACGGGAGGCAGCAGUAGGGAAUCUUCGGCAAUGGGGGCAACCCUGACCGAGCAACGCCGCGUGAGUGAAGAAGGUUUUCGGAUCGUAAAGCUCUGUUGUAAGUCAAGAACGGGUGUGAGAGUGGAAAGUUCACACUGUGACGGUAGCUUACCAGAAAGAGACGGCUAACUACGUG